This 148-nucleotide non-coding RNA is filed under the name Chlorocebus sabaeus (green monkey). Lineage: Eukaryota; Metazoa; Chordata; Mammalia; Primates; Cercopithecidae. The record is from Rfam by way of RNAcentral.
GCCGGGCGUGGUGACGGGCACCUGUAAUCCUAGCUACUUGGGAGGCUGAGGCAGAAGAAUCGCUUGAACCCGGGAGGCAGAGAUUGCAGUGAGCCAAGAUCGUGUCACUGCACUCCAGCCUGGGCAACAGAGCGAGACUCUGUCUCAA